Molecule: ribosomal RNA, 464 nt
Filed under: uncultured bacterium
Lineage: Bacteria
Description: partial 16S ribosomal RNA
Rfam family: Bacterial small subunit ribosomal RNA
Source: RNAcentral
GACGAACGCUGGCGGCGUGCUUAGCACAUGCAAGUCGAACGGAAAGGCCCUGCUUGCAGGGUACUCGAGUGGCGAACGGGUGAGUAACACGUGGGUGAUCUGCCCUGCACUUCGGGAUAAGCCUGGGAAACUGGGUCUAAUACCGGAUAGGAGCCAUUUUUAGGGUGUGGGUUGGAAAGUUUUUUCGGUGUAGGAUGAGCUCGCGGCCUAUCAGCUUGUUGGUGGGGUAAUGGCCUACCAAGGCGGCGACGGGUAGCCGGCCUGAGAGGGUGGACGGCCACAUUGGGACUGAGAUACGGCCCAGACUCCUACGGGAGGCAGCAGUGGGGAAUAUUGCACAAUGGGCGCAAGCCUGAUGCAGCGACGCCGCGUGGGGGAUGACGGCCUUCGGGUUGUAAACUCCUUUCGCUAGGGACGAAGCUUUUGUGACGGUACCUAGAUAAGAAGCACCGGCUAACUACGUG